AGCGAACGCUGGCGGCAGGCCUAACACAUGCAAGUCGAACGAACCUUUCGGGGUUAGUGGCGGACGGGUGAGUAACACGUGGGAACGUGCCUUUAGGUUCGGAAUAACUCAGGGAAACUUGUGCUAAUACCGAAUGUGCCCUUCGGGGGAAAGAUUUAUCGCCUUUAGAGCGGCCCGCGUCUGAUUAGCUAGUUGGUUGAGGUAAUGGCUCACCAAGGCGACGAUCAGUAGCUGGUCUGAGAGGAUGAUCAGCCACAUUGGGACUGAGACACGGCCCAAACUCCUCGGGGGGGCGGAGGGGGGGAAUCUGGCAAAAGGGGAAAAAGCGGGACGGCCCCAGGCCGGGGAAAGAAUGAGGGUGUUAGGUUGGAAAAUUUUUUUCCCGGGGGAAGAUAAUGAGGGAACCGGGAAAAGAAGCCCCGGCUACCUUCGUG
Molecule: ribosomal RNA, 434 nt
Filed under: uncultured bacterium
Lineage: Bacteria
Description: partial 16S ribosomal RNA
Rfam family: Bacterial small subunit ribosomal RNA
Source: RNAcentral